GUAGGGUGCGAGCGUUAAUCGGAAUUACUGGGCGUAAAGGGUGCGCAGGCGGCUCCGCAUGUCGGGCGUGAAAUCCCCGGGCUUAACCUGGGAAUUGCGUCCGAAACUAUGGAGCUGGAGUGUGGCAGAGGGAGGUGGAAUUCCACGUGUAGCGGUGAAAUGCGUAGAGAUGUGGAGGAACACCGAUGGCGAAGGCAGCCUCCUGGGCCAACACUGACGCUCAUGCACGAAAGCGUGGGGAGCAAACAGGAUUAGAUACCCUGGUAGUCCACGCCCUAAACGAUGAUGACUAGUUGUUGGAGGAGUUAAAUCCUUUAGUAACGCAGCUAACGCGCGAAGUCAUCCGCCUGGGGAGUACGGUCGCAAGAUUAAA
RNAcentral lists this ribosomal RNA (373 nucleotides) under uncultured bacterium. RNAcentral describes it as "bacterial SSU rRNA". It matches the Rfam family "Bacterial small subunit ribosomal RNA", at positions 527 to 898 of the family's 1533-position model. The record is from RNAcentral.